Molecule: microRNA precursor, 75 nt
Filed under: Myotis davidii
Lineage: Eukaryota; Metazoa; Chordata; Mammalia; Chiroptera; Vespertilionidae
Description: mir-9193 microRNA precursor family
Rfam family: mir-9193 microRNA precursor family
Source: Rfam by way of RNAcentral
GGGGGGGGGGGGCGGUCCCCUCAGCCUGGAUUGUGAGAGGGCACAGGCCAGGCUGAAGGGCCCCACUGGUGCAUG